GAUCCUGGCUCAGGACGAACGCUGGCGGCGUGCUUAACACAUGCAAGUCGAACGAAGCACUUAAGAUUGAUUCUUCGGAUGAUUUCUUUUGUGACUUAGUGGCGGACGGGUGAGUAACGCGUGGGUAACCUGCCUCACACAGGGGGAUAACAGUUAGAAAUGACUGCUAAUACCGCAUAACCCGAUAGGAUCGCAUGAUCCAGACGGAAAAGAUUUAUCGGUGUGAGAUGGAUCCGCGU
RNAcentral lists this ribosomal RNA (239 nucleotides) under uncultured bacterium. RNAcentral's name for it is "partial 16S ribosomal RNA". It matches the Rfam family "Bacterial small subunit ribosomal RNA", at positions 15 to 236 of the family's 1533-position model. The record is from RNAcentral.